AACAUCUAAGUACCCCGAGGAAAAGAAAUCAACCGAGAUUCCGAAAGUAGCGGCGAGCGAAAUUGGACUAGCCCUUAAGCUUUACACGCGUUAGACGAACGGUCUGGAAAGUCCGACGAUACAGGGUGAUAGUCCCGUAGUUGACGACGUGUGUUCAGUGAAAUCGAGUAGGGCGGGACACGUGAUAUCCUGUCUGAAUAUGGGGGGACCAUCCUCCAAGGCUAAAUACUACUGACUGACCGAUAGUGAACCAGUACCGUGAGGGAAAGGCGAAAAGAACCCCUGUGAGGGGAGUGAAAUAGAACCUGAAACCGUGUACGUACAAGCAGUAGGAGCAGGCUUUGUCCUGUGACUGCGUACCUUUUGUAUAAUGGGUCAGCGACUUAUAUUCAGUGGCAAGGUUAACCAUCUAGGGGAGCCGUAGGGAAACCGAGUCUUAACUGGGCGUUCAGUCUCUGGAUAUAGACCCGAAACCAGGUGAUCUAGCCAUGGGCAGGUUGAAGGUUGAGUAACAUCAACUGGAGGACCGAACCGACUAAUGUUGAAAAAUUAGCGGAUGACUUGUGGCUAGGGGUGAAAGGCCAAUCAAACCUGGAGAUAGCUGGUUCUCCCCGAAAGCUAUUUAGGUAGCGCCUCGGACGAAUACUACUGGGGGUAGAGCACUGUUAAGGCUAGGGGGUCAUCCCGACUUACCAACCCUUUGCAAACUCCGAAUACCAGUAAGUACUAUCCGGGAGACACACGGCGGGUGCUAACGUCCGUCGUGGAGAGGGAAACAACCCAGACCGCCAGCUAAGGUCCCAAAUUACUACUAAGUGGGAAACGAUGUGGGAAGGCUCAGACAGCCAGGAUGUUGGCUUAGAAGCAGCCAUCAUUUAAAGAAAGCGUAAUAGCUCACUGGUCGAGUCGGCCUGCGCGGAAGAUGUAACGGGGCUAAGUAGUAAACCGAAGCUGCGGCAAUGUGCUUUUGCACAUUGGGUAGGGGAGCGUUCUGUAAGCGGUUGAAGGUGUGUGGUAACGCAUGCUGGACGUAUCAGAAGUGCGAAUGCUGACAUGAGUAACGAUAAAGGGGGUGAAAAACCUCCUCGCCGGAAGACCAAGGGUUCCUGUCCAACGUUAAUCGGGGCAGGGUAAGUCGACCCCUAAGGCGAGGCCGAAAGGCGUAGUCGAUGGGAAACGGGUUAAUAUUCCCGUACUUCUUACAAUUGCGAUGGGGGGACGGAGAAGGCUAGGUGGGCCUGGCGACGGUUGUCCAGGUUCAAGUGCGUAGGCUUAAGAGUUAGGUAAAUCCGGCUCUUUUUAAGGCUG
Molecule: ribosomal RNA, 1308 nt
Filed under: Vibrio parahaemolyticus
Lineage: Bacteria; Pseudomonadati; Pseudomonadota; Gammaproteobacteria; Vibrionales; Vibrionaceae
Description: partial 23S ribosomal RNA
Rfam family: Bacterial large subunit ribosomal RNA
Source: RNAcentral